RNAcentral lists this small RNA (361 nucleotides) under Arabidopsis thaliana (thale cress). RNAcentral's name for it is "ATSL256710". Lineage: Eukaryota; Viridiplantae; Streptophyta; Magnoliopsida; Brassicales; Brassicaceae. The record is from RNAcentral.
UUUUUACUUUAUAGUUUACAAUUGUUAUUAAGUAACGUCUUGUCAAACCCGUCCCGCCAAACCCGUCCACAAAAAAAACUAUUUAUUUUAUUAAUGUUAAUCUUAUUUAUGAUAUGUUUAUGAAUCAUUGUCUAAAUAUUUUAAUCGAUGCGGGACGUUGAACCCACAUAUUUUUCGCCAAGUGGUUAAUAUAUGUUCAUUUUUAAAAUUUCGAACCGUAAAAUAUGACGUAAAAAAACAACUCUAUAUAUUAUAUAAUGAUGUUAAAUUUUUUUGAUAUAUUAAACUUUUUAUAAGUUUAAAUAUUAAUAAAGUUUUAUAAAGUUGAAAUAUAUAAAUUAUAACAUUUAAAAAUUAUAAU